GUUUGAUCCUGGCUCAGAACGAACGCUGGCGGCAGGCCUAACACAUGCAAGUCGAGCGCACCUUCGGGUGAGCGGCGGACGGGUUAGUAACGCGUGGGAACGUACCCUUUUCUAAGGAAUAGCCACUGGAAACGGUGAGUAAUACCUUAUACGCCCUUCGGGGGAAAGAUUUAUCGGAGAAGGAUCGGCCCGCGUUAGAUUAGAUAGUUGGUGGGGUAAUGGCCUACCAAGUCUACGAUCUAUAGCUGGUUUUAGAGGAUGAUCAGCAACACUGGGACUGAGACACGGCCCAGACUCCUACGGGAGGCAGCAGUGGGGAAUCUUGGACAAUGGGCGCAAGCCUGAUCCAGCCAUGCCGCGUGAGUGAUGAAGGCCUUAGGGUCGUAAAGCUCUUUCGCCAGGGAUGAUAAUGACAGUACCCAGUAAAGAAACCCCGGCUAACUCCGUG
This 448-nucleotide ribosomal RNA is filed under the name uncultured Roseobacter sp. RNAcentral describes it as "bacterial SSU rRNA". It matches the Rfam family "Bacterial small subunit ribosomal RNA", at positions 11 to 507 of the family's 1533-position model. Lineage: Bacteria; Pseudomonadati; Pseudomonadota; Alphaproteobacteria; Rhodobacterales; Roseobacteraceae. The record is from RNAcentral.